GAACUUAAGCAUAUCAAUAAGCGGAGGAAAAGAAACCAACAGGGAUUACCUCAGUAACGGCGAGUGAAGCGGUAACAGCUCAAAUUUGAAAUCUGACUCUUUCAGGGUCCGAGUUGUAAUUUGUAGAAGAUGCUUUGGGCAUUGCUCCGGUCUAAGUUCCUUGGAACAGGACGUCAUAGAGGGUGAGAAUCCCGUAUGUGACUGGUGGCAUUUGUCCGUGUAAAGCUCUUUCGACGAGUCGAGUUGUUUGGGAAUGCAGCUCAAAAUGGGUGGUAUAUUUCAUCUAAAGCUAAAUAUUGGCCAGAGACCGAUAGCGCACAAGUAGAGUGAUCGAAAGAUGAAAAGCACUUUGGAAAGAGAGUUAAACAGUACGUGAAAUUGUUGAAAGGGAAGCGCUUGCAACCAGACUUGCAGGUCGUUGAUCAUCCGGGGUUCUCCCCGGUGCACUCGGCGGCUUUCAGGCCAGCAUCGGUUUGAGUGGUGGGAUAAAGGCCUUGGGAAUGUGGCUCCUCUCGGGGAGUGUUAUAGCCCAAGGUGCAAUGCCGCCUAUUCGGACCGAGGACCGCGCUUCGGCUAGGAUGCUGGCGUAAUGGUUGUAAGCGACCCGUCUUGAAACACGGACCAAGGAGUCUAACAUCUAUGCGAGUGUUUGGGUGUCAAACCCAUACGCGUAAUUAACGUGAACGGAGGUAAGAACCCUUAAGGGUGCAUUAUCGACCGAUCCUGAUGUCUUCGGAUGGAUUUGAGUAAGAGCAUAGCUGUUGGGACCCGAAA
Molecule: ribosomal RNA, 774 nt
Filed under: uncultured fungus
Lineage: Eukaryota; Fungi
Description: eukaryotic LSU rRNA
Rfam family: Eukaryotic large subunit ribosomal RNA
Source: RNAcentral